GGCUCAGGAUGAAUGCUGGCGGCGUGCUUAACACAUGCAAGUCGAACGGGCUCAUAUUGAAACCUAGUGAUUUAUGAGUUAGUGGCGGACGGGUGAGUAACGCGUGGAAAACCUGCCGUAUACUGGGGGAUAACACUUAGAAAUAGGUGCUAAUACCGCAUAAGCGCACAGCUUCGCAUGAAGUGGUGUGAAAAACUCCGGUGGUAUACGAUGGUUCCGCGUCUGAUUAGCUUGUUGGCGGGGUAAUGGCUCACCAAGGCGACGAUCAGUAGCCGGCCUGAGAGGGUGAACGGCCACAUUGGGACUGAGACACGGCCCAAACUCCUACGGGAGGCAGCAGUGGGGAAUAUUGCACAAUGGGGGAAACCCUGAUGCAGCGACGCCGCGUGAGUGAAGAAGUAUUUCGGUAUGUAAAGCUCUAUCAGCAGGGAAGAAAUAGCGACCUUUGGGUCGCCAGACGGUACCUGAUUAAGAAGCCCCGGCUAACUACGUGCCAGCAGCCGCGGUA
Molecule: ribosomal RNA, 508 nt
Filed under: uncultured bacterium
Lineage: Bacteria
Description: bacterial SSU rRNA
Rfam family: Bacterial small subunit ribosomal RNA
Source: RNAcentral